RNAcentral lists this ribosomal RNA (253 nucleotides) under uncultured bacterium. RNAcentral describes it as "partial 16S ribosomal RNA". It matches the Rfam family "Bacterial small subunit ribosomal RNA", at positions 524 to 776 of the family's 1533-position model. The record is from RNAcentral.
UACAGAGGGGGCAAGCGUUGUUCGGAAUUACUGGGCGUAAAGGGCGCGUAGGCGGCCUUCUAAGUCGAACGUGAAAUCCCCGGGCUCAACCCGGGAACUGCGUCCGAUACUGGAAGGCUUGAAUCCGGGAGAGGGAUGCGGAAUUCCAGGUGUAGCGGUGAAAUGCGUAGAUAUCUGGAGGAACACCGGUGGCGAAGGCGGCAUCCUGGACCGGCAUUGACGUUGAGGCGCGAAAGCCAGGGGAGCAAACGGG